RNAcentral lists this ribosomal RNA (512 nucleotides) under uncultured bacterium. Its description in RNAcentral is "partial 16S ribosomal RNA". It matches the Rfam family "Bacterial small subunit ribosomal RNA", at positions 28 to 523 of the family's 1533-position model. The record is from RNAcentral.
GACGAACGCUGGCGGCGUGCCUAAUACAUGCAAGUCGAGCGAACGGAGGAGAGCUUGCUCUCCGAAGUUAGCGGCGGACGGGUGAGUAACACGUGGCCAACCUGCCUAUAAGACUGGGAUAACUUCGGGAAAACGGAGCUAAUACAGGAUAGAUUCUUUCCUCUCAUGAGGAAAGAAGGAAAGAUGGUUUCGGCUAUCACUUAUAGAUGGGCCCGCGGCGCCUUAGCUAGUUGGUAAGGAAACGGCUUACCAAGGCGACAAUACGUAGCCGACCUGGGAGGGUGAUCGGCCACAAUGGAACUGAGACACGGUCCAGCCUCCUACGGGAGGCAGCAGUAGGGAAUCUUCCGCAAUGGGCGAAAGCCUGACGGAGCGACGCCGCGUGAGUGAUGAAGGGUUUCGGUUCGUAAACCUCUGUUAUUAGGGAAGAACAAAUGUGUAAGUAACUGUGCACAUCUUGACGGUACCUAAUCAGAAAGCCACGGCUAACUACGUGCCAGCAGCCGCCGUAA